Micropterus salmoides (largemouth bass) is the source of this 1430-nucleotide long non-coding RNA. RefSeq lists it as uncharacterized. NCBI's taxonomy places the organism in Eukaryota, Metazoa, Chordata, Actinopteri, Centrarchiformes, Centrarchidae. The transcript has 3 exons. The record is from RefSeq and is a predicted model, not a curated record.
GUUCCUGACUGUAGUUCCUCUUUCACUUUGGACGACCAGUAAAUAUCAGCCAGCCGACAGCAUCAGUCUCUCUUCACAGCUCGGUCCUGGUCUCAGUCGGAUCACUGAGGAAGAUCAACAAGAGACUCUGAGGCUCCACAGCAGGUGCAACACAUCAUGGCAAACCGUCAGUGCACAUUUGAGAUUGUCAACAAGAGUUCACCUUCUGUAACCCGCAGGUGUUCACUUACAGUGGAAUCUAUGAGAAGCCGUUGUCACCAACUCUCGGCCCCUCUGAAUCUGGCAGCGCUCUGUUCAUCAAGACUUCGAACACAGCAUGUGGGGCUGUUGGAGUCCUCACCUAUGAUCUGCAGAACAAAUCCACAGAGAAAUGUGAUGGAAAAAUAGCCGUCAUGUACUCCGUUCCUUAUGACUACAACUUCUACUCUAACAUGUACGCAGUGGGAGUCUUUGAUGUGGAUACAAAGUGUGAUUAUGACCUUUAUAAAGAGAUGUAUUAUGGGGCGGGGUCAAUGUUUGUCAGAGGUAAAGCUAAAGACAGUCUGACUUACAAAGGCAAAGAUGUCACCAUCAGAGCCACCAUGACAGACAGUAAGACAUCUGUCAUCAAGGUGCACGUGUCCAACGGAAAUAUGAAGCUUUCUUAAACCCUUCAGACCUUCUUCCAUGAACCAGUAAUCCCAGUUGGCCCACAAAGACAGAAAGUUUUUUUUUCUUCAUCAUUCUCAUUGUCUUCCAUUUAGCUAGGGUGAUUUUGGUUUUCCUAACAGAGGACAGUGGGGGCAGGAGGCAGACGGACACCGUGGUGGCAAUGUGUACUGCAGAGGCUCUACUAUCUACUAAACUAGUAUAAAUUAGUGUACGAGUACAAUAUAGUAACAUUAAAUAAAAAGUUGAAUGUUAGUAUAAUACCAAUAUAUCUGUAGCUUUCUCUGUAUUUGGCUAAUGUCACAGUGUUUAUAGUCUAUUUGUAACAUUUCAACAGCUUAUUGAGAUUAACGGAUUCACUAAUGGAACAGUUUUCUGUCACGUUAAGGUUUGACUUGUGCUAAAGUUACAUUAGAAUUUCAGAUAACAGUAUCCUAUAUAGCGUACCACUAGUGUAAUAUUAAUUCCAGUUCCAGCAGUUUCGUUACGGUUCGUUGUUCUCGUUCAUUAAAUCCUCGUGCGAGAAAAAAAGCUAACUUGUCACUAAUCAGAACCGUUCGUGCAGAACGAGUUCAACAUUUGGAAAGUUUGCCGUAGCACCACGUCAACCUUUUUUCAUGUCCCGCCUCUCUGCUCCUGCUUCCAGUGUUUAUGCUGAGCUACACUGUGAAAGAUGAAACUGUACUUGAUUUGAUUGUUAUUGAUCAUAAAUGAUGUUUCUCUAGCACUGCAGCUCAUCUAUGCAGCUUCUUUCUGAAAUAAAGUCGGGCCUUAAAGCAGUC